RNAcentral lists this ribosomal RNA (155 nucleotides) under uncultured bacterium. RNAcentral describes it as "partial 16S ribosomal RNA". It matches the Rfam family "Bacterial small subunit ribosomal RNA", at positions 373 to 519 of the family's 1533-position model. The record is from RNAcentral.
GGGGGCAACCCUGACCGAGCAACGCCGCGUGAGUGAAGAAGGUUUUCGGAUCGUAAAGCUCUGUUGUAAGUCAAGAACGGGUGUGAGAGUGGAAAGUUCACACUGUGACGGUAGCUUACCAGAAAGGGACGGCUAACUACGUGCCAGCAGCCGCG